Motacilla alba alba is the source of this 4132-nucleotide long non-coding RNA. RefSeq lists it as uncharacterized. The transcript has 2 exons. NCBI's taxonomy places the organism in Eukaryota, Metazoa, Chordata, Aves, Passeriformes, Motacillidae. The record is from RefSeq and is a predicted model, not a curated record.
GAAGAAAAAAAAAGAUACAUAUAUUUAGAUGUUUCCCACAUGCACUAGAUAGCCAUGCACAUCACCUUUGACAGGAGCCCAAACCACUAACAGCACAUGUGAGAUACGCAAACAUGACAUUCCUAAAUGAGUUGCUCACAUUCAUAAGUGGAAGAAUUUUUGCCUAGUUACAUAAAGGUGGGCAAAAAAAAUCUUUUGGCUUUUCCAGACUCGACUUUUUAUGCAUGGAAGCAUCUAGCCUCAGAUGCACUGGAAGCUGGAAGUGUAAGCUCUGGUCUUGAGAGCUGCUCAGGAAGACACUUGCCUUCCAGAGAGUUGCCUCUGGAGAGCAGCUCAGUGUAAGACACACCAGAAGUGUUCAUGGAACAGAAAUUACCAUGAAAAGACAGAAAUAAACAUGAUUAUUUUCUUCUCUCCCUGCCUUUUUAAAGACCUAAGCACCAUUUUGCAAUUUUCUGGUUAAAGUUGCUAGUUAACACAUACCUUUAUGCCCACUGUGAAGUGUUAACAGCACUGAGAGCUCAGCAGGGUAUUCAGAUCCCAAGGAGAUGGGAUUACUCUUCAGACACCACAAAAUCCAAAUGCAACCAGUUACUCCAACACAGUCUCAGCAAAAACUUUAGUACAUGAACUAAACCAGUAUGCAUCACCAAUAUCUCCUCCAAACAUUUGCUGGCUAUCUCCAGUGUUGCACAGCUAUCUUUCAUUUGUGUAUUACUUUAAUUAGAGGUGCACCAGGCCUCUGGUCAUGCCUUCAUAUAGAUGUGUGAAAUCCUGACCCCAGGAAAUUAGUGGCAAAGCUCUCACUGACUGUCAGCAUAAUAUCAUCCAAAACACUUUUAUCUACAGCAACAAAGAAGUUGCUGCAAAGUCUCUGUAAAGUCCUGACGAGGGGCAGGAGGUGUUGCAAGCAGCAAAUUUGCCAUCACAGGAACAGCAAAGCUUUAGCAAGCAAGGAUGCUGCCAUGGCUCUCAGGUCUGGGUAACUGCAAGUCAGAGUAACUGUAUUAAAAAAUCCGAAUCAAUCCCCCCUGAACUAUGCAUUUGGUCACUUCCUGGGGAUUUUACUUCUUACAGUAAGGUAAAUAAAGUACAGUGCAAAUCCAGAUUUUUGAGGCUUUAGUCACAGCCAGCAACAUGAUUUGAUACUGCAUAUCACACCAUCAUGCCUGCAAGGAAAGGAAAUUGCUAGGGACUCAAAAGAAGCAUACCAUCUCCAGCUCUUCUUUAGUUACCACAGGGUUGCUCGAAGAUUUCAAGAAAGACAGCUACCUUCAUAAUAAACAUCCUCAAAAGUUCCUAAGAACAGUACUUGUAGGGGAAUACUAGCCACAACCAUUACCACAAGACCUGGACAAAACCACAAGCAGUUUUAGGAAAUGGCAGCAAAGAUUCUCAGGGCAGGCCAUCAGUGAGCACCUGGUACACCAGGCACUCUCACAUUGCCAUCCUCACCGAUAAUUAUUCUUUCAGCAAGCACACAGAUAAUAAAUUAUGUGCGUAAGCAUCAGGUGUUGCCACCAGUGCCCCAUUUCAAUAUCAACAGAAUCUACCGAUUUAUGCAAGUCUCAGUUUCCCAGCAUACAUCCAGAAGGAUGCACUGUGCAGACUUAUCAACAGGCCCUUCAUUAAUACAACAAAAAGCUCUGCAAUUUGGCCCUGAAGCAAACACAUAUUUACUCAGAAGGAAAAAGCAACUAUUUACAUUUCAAAAGACAUCUUCUGUGUUCAGGUUAGUUCGACUGUUUGCAUCCAAGAACUACUAUUCAAUAUUGCCUCAGUUGCGAAGGGCUCCCACAGUUCUGCCUUGCCAUGCUGUCAGCAGUGAUUGAUCCCAGAGAAAGUCCCAUUUCAGAAGAAAAAAAAGCCAACCAGACAGAAAGCAGGCAGUGGAGCAGCACAGCUCAGGCACAUAUUAAGAAAGUCUUCACCUCAGUGCAAAGGUGCAAAGGGAUGAGCCACUCAUUAAGGUGAUUACAAAAGGAAAACAUGCCAAAACUCAGGCAGAGCAAAUGAACCCAAGUGCAUUCCAGCUAAUCCCAGACACAGUCAGCAGUAUGUCCCACUCACAUAGGCAACACGAUUCUACCAUCUACCUUUUGGUUUGGGCAAAGCCCAAAGCAUUCAGCUCUGCCGCUGCUCAGUGAGGAUAAGCUGCUGCCUCCAAGAAUUCCUCUCAGAGUUAGCAAAUGAAGUACAAAACAAAUCUUCAGACUGGGUUUCCCAGCCACUUCUCAUAUGUUUUUCCAAUUUCCACUCAAAUUUGUUGCACUGCCCAGCCAGUCCAUGGAAUCCCUGCUCGAGCUGUCCUUCCUCACCCCAGGGCUGGCACAAGUGGAGGAACAUCCCUCUCACAUAACAGCACUAACAGUCAAACUUUUAGAGAAGCACUCUUUCCACGCAGCUCUCCCCUUGGCGGACCAGAACUCCUCCAUGCUGUAAUCCUCCCUUCCUGUUCUACCUGUAAUUUGCGGGUUACACAUCAGCUUCAGACCACCUGUCCAGAGCCCAGAAAGCACACUAGAGAUAAAAUCCUGGCUCUGAAGCAUUCCCUGUGCUCACUGCAACAGACCAAUCCAUGACUCUCCAUAAACCCAGAUUUUGUGUCUUACCAAAAAAACUCACAUACACCUUUGUAAAAAGAAAAAACAUUUUAAGAUCAUUACUCCAGAGAGCAACAAGCAAGCCACAGUACUAGAAAGCAUCUCAGGUCAUAGAGUGUGCUGCAAGCCUUCGCUUCUUCCCUGUCCUUGGACACAAGCAAGUCCCAACACUGACACUAGGAGAGAAGCUGCUGUUCUCUGGCAAGGGCUCAGGUCAGAACACAGCACCAGCUGCACACAUCUCAUAUUAUGCCUGCCACAGCUCCGACUCUGGCAGUGAGCUAUCAGCCCUACCCACACAGUUUCUCUUGCAGAGAACACCAGCACUGCAAAUCAAGAGCAUCUACAGGAACACUGCUCAUUCAUUCUUUCUGCACCUCCAAUUCCCUCCUGAAGCAAAGCAUUGGUGUGGGGCAGAUCAACUCAAACACACACACCACUGCACGGGGUGAGGCAGUGAGGCAGCAGGUGACCGUUUUUUACCAGGUGACCUGAUCCUUUCAGUUUUCAGGCAGUGGGAACAAAACAGAGAGCAAAUAACCCAAAGCCUUGCUCUGGAUUCUGCCUAAAGCAAAAUCUGAAUGGCACGACAGGGGUCUGGAAAAGCCCAGGCAGGGCUGUUUUCUUUUUUUUUUUUUUGGUUUUUUUUUUCUCCUUUCUAAAACACAAAACUAACAGCAUUUACCAUGAAAACAAUUGAACUGGAUCACUGGAAAUUCUCUAUGAAACAAGCAAGUACCACUGCUCUCACACAAGUUGUUCAAUUCUGGUUGCCCCUACCACAAUCGGAUGCUUCAAAAUUACACGUUAAAAGAAACAAAAGUUUGAGCACAUCCCUUAGUUAAAGAGAUCCCCCCACAUUUUUUAAAUGGAUGUAUAACUUUAUGUUUAAAUACUGAAAUAAGAUGACGUAAGUUUUACAUAGGCCUCCAAAGUACAGGCCUCCAAAGUCUUAGCAGUGGCAAAGUAGCUGGAUGAGCUAACCUUUUGCACUUGUAAGAAGUCCACAGAUCACAGCUGAGAACAAGCUCAUUUCUAAGGAGCUUGGAUUCACUAUCCUGGGACCUCCUCUUCCAUAGGAAUAGCUUUAAGGAUACAUACAUCAUUGACUUGUGGUUUAAAAAUAAUUUAAUCCAAUUUGAGAUUAACCACAGAGUAACUCAUCCCUCGAGUGGAAUAACAAGGGAAAUAGAAACAAAGAAGUUACAGAGGCUUUGGGCUUGUUGCCCCCUAGAAGUCACCACCUACUAAAAGGGAGUCUGUCUGUACAACAUCCAGCAGAGAGAGCACUCCAUGAAGUUUUAAAUAUCUGAAGGAAUUGAAAUAGACUGGAAAGCAGUGAAGUCAUCCCAGCCUGAGGGCAGUGAGUGGAUUUUGAGCCAUGUAAUUGUGUGCCAUCUGGCCAAGCCCAGACAGGAGAGCUGAUAAAGACUAGGAAUGGAAUGCAGGUCAAUUAGUGACUUAGUUCUGUCCAAAGAGCUCUGAAGACUUCUUAAAAUCAUAAAUAAAAAUAACAAAAAAAAAAAAAA